Molecule: long non-coding RNA, 2135 nt
Filed under: Gallus gallus (chicken)
Lineage: Eukaryota; Metazoa; Chordata; Aves; Galliformes; Phasianidae
Description: long non-coding RNA NONGGAT000982
Source: RNAcentral
GCCGCACCUUGCCUUUGGCCUGCCUGCCUGGGUGCUGCAGGGGCCCGUUUCCCUGUUUCCCCUUAGUCAGUGUGGGAGAUAACGUGGGCAUUGUCUCAGCGCAGGGUUCUGCAUUUAAUAAUCUCACCCGCUCAACUGUUUUUAUCUGAAUCUCCCUCCUGAACUGAUAAAUCUAAAUUGCACAUUUUCUAAACCGCUUAGCUUAGGGGUAAAUCUUGCAGGUAUCCUCAAAUGACUAGCUGUGCCUUUUGCACCUUUCUAGCACCAUCUACUGUAGCUUUAUUACACUGUCUGCAGGCUUACGAUUCCUGCAGGAGCUGCCUUCAUCCCGAGGAGCUGAUGGAAGAACGUGGGCUCAGUUUGGCUUGGAAAGACCCAGGGCUGGGAACAAUGGUGGAACAAAUCCAACACACACCUGUCCCAUAGUUCACCUUCCCUCAUGUUCAACCAGUGACGCAAUUCUCAGUGCCUGUCUUGCUGCUUGAUACAUUUUGCACUUGGUGAGAUGGAGCAGAAAAGAUGCGUGCCAGAUUUUACUGAAGCUUUCUGUGCUAGUUGAUGGAACAAGAACUUGGGAUCUGGCAGGACAAGGGGUGGGAGCAGAGCUUUGUCUGGGGGGAAGAGGGGCCGCACAAGAACGAAUCUUCCAGUUGCUGCCAGAGGAUGCGGAGGGCCUGACAUCAGCUUGGAUUUCUACCGCCUAUUGGGGAGCUAUGGGAUGGGAUUAGCAGCAGCGAGUUUCGUAUUCUCUCGUUAAAUUCAGUACUGAAAGGAAAGCUGCUCUUGAAGGAUCUCUUACUUUUUUCCUGGCCGUUCGGAGCUGACGUGGAGAUGCUGUGUGUCCUUAUUGUACGCACGCCUGUUAAAAUGUGGUCUUGGCUGGGGCAUGUUUUAUGGUAAAAGAUGGUUAUUACAACCAGAAAUAGAACCAGAGCUCUCUGACUGCAAUCACUAUUAUGGAUCUGUGUGAUUAACACCUUGUUGUUAAAAGCACCUAAAGCUGCAAGUCAAAAUCAGAACUAAACUGUGCUAAGCGUUACAUAAGGCAUAUUUUUCUCUUUAUAGAUCUGUUGAUAUGAAUAUUUCUGGAGGUGACAGAUUAUAGUUCCAGGGAUAUAAAAUACAGAACAAGACCAAACUGUGGUUUUGGAGGGCACGCAUACAGAGUUCAGCGGUCUACGGCACAAAAAGUGAUGUCUGCAAUACCUAGGCAUUCGGCUUCCCACAGCAUCGAGGGAAGUCCCGGAAUACCUACCUAUCAGAGGCCAGGUUAUUUACUUCCUCAAGUACCAGACUUCAACCACAGGAGCAGUGCAAGGCAAGGCAGAAGAUCAUCUUCUCCCACACGGAUUUCCCCAUCAAGGUCAGAAUUUGUCCUUACUAAAUGCGCUCCUAGGAUGAAGGGAGGGAACCCACGAACACAUAGCAUCCAGCAUGACUUGUUUUCCAUCUGGCAGAUCAACCAGCAGAAACCAGUCUGGGACCAGGUUCAGGGGACUGCCCUUCGCUUGCAGUCGGUUUCAGAGCUGCCUCAGUGAUGGGCUAAUGAGGUUCACCCACUGCCAGGCACCUCCCUGCGACUGAGAGCCACUGUACUGCAAAGCAAAGAGAACAACUUUGAUACUCUCUGGAGGUGAGACGGCAAGUGCAGCUGCGAGGCUCAAAAAGAAAGCACCAGAAAGCAGAGUACGAGCUACUGCUUGUCAUUUAGCAGAGGCAAACGUGAGCACAACCAAAACAACAGAGUGAUCACAACAGCGUUAUCCGAUUAGCAGCACCUGCAACCAACAGAAACAGAUCUUCAAAUGGAGCUGUCAGCCGCCGUUGCAACACGAAGUGUGCUAUAACACACUGAGUGGGAAUAAGGAGCAGUGGUGUAAGAGGUGCAAUUGCAAGAGCACUGAAGGGACACUUGGCAGCGCUUGCGUGCCUGAAAUUAGAUCUGCCCAUCUCGUGCAUGGGUGCGUGGGGGGUGCCAGGUGGGAUUACAAUGAGGCUCUGCUUUCCUGUAAGGCAAAAAAUGUAUUCAAGUUCAGCCAAGAUAUAUGGGUUUAUAUACAAUGAUAUUAUUACUGUUGUUAUUGUGAUACAUGGCAUAAUAACUGCCUUUUACACACAUACCCAGACACGUGUAC